GAUGAACGCUGGCGGCGUGCCUAAUACAUGCAAGUCGAGCGAACAGACGAGGAGCUUGCUCCUUUGACGUUAGCGGCGGACGGGUGAGUAACACGUGGGUAACCUACCUAUAAGACUGGGAUAACUUCGGGAAACCGGAGCUAAUACCGGAUAAUAUUUCGAACCGCAUGGUUCGAUAGUGAAAGAUGGCUUUGCUAUCACUUAUAGAUGGGCCUGCGCCGUAUUAGCUAGUUGGUAAGGUAACGGCUUACCAAGGCAACGAUACGUAGCCGACCUGAGAGGGGGAUCGCCCACACUGGAACUGAGACACGGUCCAGACUCCUACGGGAGGCAGCAGUAGGGAAUCUUCCGCAAUGGGCGAAAGCCUGACGGAGCAACGCCGCGUGAGUGAUGAAGGUCUUCGGAUCGUAAAACUCUGUUAUUAGGGAAGAACAAACGUGUAAGUAACUGUGCACGUCUUGACGGUACCUAAUCAGAAAGCCACGGCUAACUACGUG
This 497-nucleotide ribosomal RNA is filed under the name uncultured bacterium. RNAcentral's name for it is "partial 16S ribosomal RNA". It matches the Rfam family "Bacterial small subunit ribosomal RNA", at positions 28 to 507 of the family's 1533-position model. The record is from RNAcentral.